Molecule: long non-coding RNA, 1804 nt
Filed under: Sus scrofa (pig)
Lineage: Eukaryota; Metazoa; Chordata; Mammalia; Artiodactyla; Suidae
Description: lncRNA (ENSSSCG00000057145.1)
Source: RNAcentral
CAUUUCUAGGGCUGCUCCCGCGGCAUAUGGAGGUUCCCAGGCUAGGGGUCCAAUCAGAGAUGUAGCCACCCGCCUACGCCAGAGCCACAGCAACGCGGGAUCCAAGCGCGUCUGCAACCUACACCACAGCUCAGGGCAACGCCGGAUCCUUAACCUACUGAGCGAGGCCAGGGAUCGAACCCGCAACCUCAUGGUUCCUAGUUGGAUUCGAUAACCACUAAGCCACAACGGGAACUCCCAUAAGUGGUAUUCUUAUUAUAUUUUAAAAUACAUACGAGGGCAGGGCUGAUGGUGUGUUACUGUCCUGGGGCUGUAAUAACAAAUGACUACAAUCCGGAGGCAGGGGUGGGGCUUAAAACAAGUGAAUAGAUUCUCCUACAGUCCUAGCCACCGACUGCAAGUCUGAAAUCAGGUGAUGGCGGGGCUCACUGCCCCCGGGGCUCUGGGGAGGUCCCUUCCUUGGCUCCUCCACCUCCCAGGGCUCCAGGCAUCUUUGACUCAUGGCCACCUCCCUCCAGCCUCUGCCUCCGCCUUUGCGUGGCAUCUUCCCCAGGCAUCAGGUCACCAGGCACCAGAGCGAGGACCCACCCACACAAGGACGCUGCAUCUCAGCAUCCUUGGCCAACGGCUUAUUUCCAACUAAGGUCACAUUCCAAGGUCCCAGGUGGGCAUGAAUCUUGGGAGACACUGUUUGCCGCAGCACAGAUGACGUGUCGUGUCCCCAGCACCCCAAGCCGAGCGCUACCCCACUGUCCUUCCAGAGCUGUCAGCAGACAGGCAAGUGCCGUCUCUGUUCUCGACGACAGCGUGGCAGGGAGGGGAUGGGAGCAGAGGACGAAAGAGACAUUCCCUGGCCGGAGGUCCUCUGACAUGAGGCCAUAGACCAGGUGACAGGGCAGGUGAGAGGCAGCCCAGCACGCGAUGGGGUCUGGAGGCCAGGAUGCAGGCAGAAAGGGAGGGAACGGGCUUCAAAGGUCAAGGGUCACUGAACACCAGAGGCUGGGCAGGGAGGAAGCGGCUACGACCCCAGACCCUCUGAUCCCCUCCACACACUCUCCGCCAGCACCCCGUGUCACUUUAUUUGUACGUAUUUAUUUUUAAGGGCUGUACCCACGGCAUAUGGGAGUUUCCCGGCCAGGGGUUGAAUCGAAACCAACACUGGAUCCUUUAAUCCACUGCGCCAGGCCAGGAACGGAACCCACGCCUCUGCAGCGAGCUUAGCUGCUGCAGUCGGAGUCGUAACCCACUAAGCCACAGCAGAGACCCCCUGGAUCAUUUUAGAUGUGAAGGAUUUCUCGGGGACCAGCUCGGGGAGAGCUAAUGGUUAGUAGGGCAUCUCCGUGUGCUGGGCACAAUUUACACACAUCAACCACUUAGGCCGACACCCUUAGGAAGUACAGAGGGGAGGUUUGUGACACGGCACUAGCUCCCUAGCACAAGACAGGUGCUAUUAUUACUUCUCCUUCUAUAGCAGAGGAAACGACAGCACAGAGAGGUUAAGCGUCUUCCCCAAGGGCACACAGCCAAUGAGAGGCAGAUCCAGAUGCAAACCCAGGUUGUCUGGCUCCAGGCUGGAGCUCCUAACGCUAGGCCAGGCCUGCGUAGAAACACAGGGACCCACGUUACAGAGCAAGGGCCAAACUCCUGCCCACGGGAGGGCAGGCCCAGCAAUUCAGCUACUGGCUCAUCCCCACUUUUUUUUUGGGGGGGGGUUGUUUGUUUUUUUUUAAGGCUGAACUUGCAGCAUAUAGAGGUUCCCAGGCUAGAGGUCAAAUGGAGCUACAGCUGCUGGCCUACACCACAG